Molecule: long non-coding RNA, 274 nt
Organism: Thunnus maccoyii (southern bluefin tuna)
Lineage: Eukaryota; Metazoa; Chordata; Actinopteri; Scombriformes; Scombridae
Exons: 3
Source: RefSeq, a predicted model, not a curated record
UGUGGUUGUGGUGCUUUUGGCUGUUUUUCUACCGCUCCUACACAAGUGGAAGAAAAGAGGAAGCUCUAAUAAUGUGAACAGCAGGGCCCCCUUAACCAGCACAAACAUGGAGCCUGUCUAUGAGAAUUCUGCUCCAGUCUCCACAUUGGAAGACUACGAGAACGUCAAUCCAUCCUCCACCUACGAGACCCUUAAUCCAAUCACUAUGGAUGACCAGACGUACAGCACACUCAAUCGUGCCACACAGGAAUAGUUGUGGUUUAUUUUGAGGACA